ACGAAGGGGGCUAGCGUUGCUCGGAAUGACUGGGCGUAAAGGGCGCGUAGGCGGCUAUGACAGUCAGAUGUGAAAUUCCUGGGCUCAACCUGGGGGCUGCAUUUGAUACGUGAUGGCUGGAGUGUGGAAGAGGGUCGUGGAAUUCCCAGUGUAGAGGUGAAAUUCGUAGAUAUUGGGAAGAACACCGGUGGCGAAGGCGGCGACCUGGUCCAUUACUGACGCUGAGGCGCGAAAGCGUGGGGAGCAAACAGGAUUAGAUACCCUGGUAGUCCACGCCGUAAACGAUGUGUGCUGGAUGUUGGGCGGCCUAGCCGUUCAGUGUCGUAGCUAACGCGGUAAGCACACCGCCUGGGGAGUACGGCCGCAAGGUUG
RNAcentral lists this ribosomal RNA (372 nucleotides) under uncultured bacterium. Its description in RNAcentral is "bacterial SSU rRNA". It matches the Rfam family "Bacterial small subunit ribosomal RNA", at positions 525 to 896 of the family's 1533-position model. The record is from RNAcentral.